This 544-nucleotide ribosomal RNA is filed under the name uncultured bacterium. RNAcentral describes it as "bacterial SSU rRNA". It matches the Rfam family "Bacterial small subunit ribosomal RNA", at positions 358 to 916 of the family's 1533-position model. The record is from RNAcentral.
GGAAUCUUGCGCAAUGGGCGAAAGCCUGACGCAGCAACGCCGCGUGCGGGAAGAAGGCUUUCGGGCUGUAAACCGCUUUCAGUAGGAACGAAACUGACGGUACCUACAGAAGAAGGAGCGGCCAACUAUGUGCCAGCAGCCGCGGUGACACAUAGGCUCCAAGCGUUGUCCGGAUUUAUUGGGCGUAAAGAGCUCGUAGGCGGUUGAGUAAGUCGGGUGUGAAAACUUUGGGCUUAACCCAAAGAUGCCACUCGAUACUGCUUUGACUUGAGUUCGGUAGGGGAGUGGGGAAUUCCUUGUGUAGCGGUGAAAUGCGCAGAUAUAAGGAGGAACACCGGUGGCGAAGGCGCCACUCUGGGCCGAUACUGACGCUGAGGAGCGAAAGCGUGGGGAGCAAACAGGAUUAGAUACCCUGGUAGUCCACGCGGUAAACGGUGGUCACUAGGUGUGGGUCUCUACCAAUGAGAUCUGCGCCGUCGCUAACGCAUUAAGUGACCCGCCUGGGGAGUACGGUCGCAAGACUAAAACUCAAAGGAAUUGACGG